GCGUUGUCCGGAUUUACUGGGUUUAAAGGGUGCGUAGGCGGACUUAUAAGUCAGUGGUGAAAGCCUUCAGCUUAACUGAAGAACUGCCAUUGAAACUGUAAGUCUCGAGUUCGGUUGAGGUCAUUGGAGUGUAACAUGUAGCGGUGAAAUGCAUAGAUAUGUUACAGAACACCAAUUGCGAAGACAGAUGACUAACCCGAAACUGACGCUGAGGCACGAAAGCGUG
RNAcentral lists this ribosomal RNA (226 nucleotides) under uncultured bacterium. Its description in RNAcentral is "partial 16S ribosomal RNA". It matches the Rfam family "Bacterial small subunit ribosomal RNA", at positions 538 to 763 of the family's 1533-position model. The record is from RNAcentral.